RNAcentral lists this ribosomal RNA (468 nucleotides) under uncultured bacterium. RNAcentral's name for it is "partial 16S ribosomal RNA". It matches the Rfam family "Bacterial small subunit ribosomal RNA", at positions 28 to 507 of the family's 1533-position model. The record is from RNAcentral.
GACGAACGCUGGCGGCGUGCUUAACACAUGCAAGUCGAACGGUGAAGCUCCAGCUUGCUGGAGUGGAUCAGUGGCGAACGGGUGAGUAACACGUGAGCAACCUGCCCCUGACUCUGGAAUAAGCGCUGGAAACGGCGUCUAAUACUGGAUAUGAGAAGGGUCCGCAUGGACACUUUCUGGAAAGUUUUUCGGUUGGGGAUGGGCUCGCGGCCUAUCAGCUUGUUGGUGAGGUAAUGGCUCACCAAGGCGACGACGGGUAGCCGGCCUGAGAGGGCGACCGGCCACACUGGGACUGAGACACGGCCCAGACUCCUACGGGAGGCAGCAGUGGGGAAUACUGCACAAUGGGCGAAAGCCUGAUGCAGCGACGCCGCGUGAGGGAUGACGGCCUUCGGGUUGUAAACCUCUUUCAGCAGGGAAGAAGCGAAAGUGACGGUACCUGCAGAAGAAGCACCGGCUAACUACGUG